GGGUUGUGAGGUUAAGCGACUAAGCGUACACGGUGGAUGCCCUGGCAGUCAGAGGCGAUGAAGGACGUGCUAAUCUGCGAAAAGCGUCGGUAAGGUGAUAUGAACCGUUAUAACCGGCGAUGUCCGAAUGGGGAAACCCAGUGCAAUUCGUUGCACUAUCGUUAACUGAAUACAUAGGUUAACGAGGCGAACCGGGGGAACUGAAACAUCUAAGUACCCCGAGGAAAAGAAAUCAACCGAGAUUCCCCCAGUAGCGGCGAGCGAACGGGGAGCAGCCCAGAGUCUGAAUCAGCUUGUGUGUUAGUGGAACGGUCUGGAAAGUCCGACGGUACAGGGUGAUAGUCCCGUACACCAAAAUGCACAGGCUGUGAACUCGAAGAGUAGGGCGGGACACGUGGUAUCCUGUCUGAAUAUGGGGGGACCAUCCUCCAAGGCUAAAUACUCCUGACUGACCGAUAGUGAACCAGUACCGUGAGGGAAAGGCGAAAAGAACCCCGGCGAGGGGAGUGAAAAAGAACCUGAAACCGUGUACGUACAAGCAGUGGGAGCACCUUCGGGUGUGACUGCGUACCUUUUGUAUAAUGGGUCAGCGACUUAUAUUCUGUAGCAAGGUUAACCGUAUAGGGGAGCCGCAGGGAAACCGAGUCUUAACUGGGCGUUAAGUUGCAGGGUAUAGACCCGAAACCCGGUGAUCUAGCCAUGGGCAGGUUGAAGGUUGGGUAACACUAACUGGAGGACCGAACCGACUAAUGUUGAAAAAUUAGCGGAUGACUUGUGGCUGGGGGUGAAAGGCCAAUCAAACCGGGAGAUAGCUGGUUCUCCCCGAAAGCUAUUUAGGUAGCGCCUCGUGAAUUCAUCUUCGGGGGUAGAGCACUGUUUCGGCUAGGGGGUCAUCCCGACUUACCAACCCGAUGCAAACUACGAAUACCGAAGAAUGUUAUCACGGGAGACACACGGCGGGUGCUAACGUCCGUCGUGAAGAGGGAAACAACCCAGACCGCCAGCUAAGGUCCCAAAGUCAUGGUUAAGUGGGAAACGAUGUGGGAAGGCACAGACAGCCAGGAUGUUGGCUUAGAAGCAGCCAUCAUUUAAAGAAAGCGUAAUAGCUCACUGGUCGAGUCGGCCUGCGCGGAAGAUGUAACGGGGCUAAACCAUGCACCGAAGCUGCGGCAGCGACACUAUGUGUUGUUGGGUAGGGGAGCGUUCUGUAAGCCUGCGAAGGUGGCCUGUGAGGGCUGCUGGAGGUAUCAGAAGUGCGAAUGCUGACAUAAGUAACGAUAAAGCGGGUGAAAAGCCCGCUCGCCGGAAGACCAAGGGUUCCUGUCCAACGUUAAUCGGGGCAGGGUGAGUCGACCCCUAAGGCGAGGCCGAAAGGCGUAGUCGAUGGGAAACAGGUUAAUAUUCCUGUACUUGGUGUUACUGCGAAGGGGGGACGGAGAAGGCUAUGUUAGCCGGGCGACGGUUGUCCCGGUUUAAGCAUGUAGGCGGAGGUUCCAGGUAAAUCCGGUACCUUUUAACGCUGAGGUGUGAUGACGAGGCACUACGGUGCUGAAGUAACAAAUGCCCUGCUUCCAGGAAAAGCCUCUAAGCAUCAGGUAACAUUAAAUCGUACCCCAAACCGACACAGGUGGUCAGGUAGAGAAUACCAAGGCGCUUGAGAGAACUCGGGUGAAGGAACUAGGCAAAAUGGUGCCGUAACUUCGGGAGAAGGCACGCUGGUGUGUAGGUGAAGUCCCUGCGGAUGGAGCUGAGACCAGUCGAAGAUACCAGCUGGCUGCAACUGUUUAUUAAAAACACAGCACUGUGCAAACACGAAAGUGGACGUAUACGGUGUGACGCCUGCCCGGUGCCGGAAGGUUAAUUGAUGGGGUUAUCCGUAAGGAGAAGCUCUUGAUCGAAGCCCCGGUAAACGGCGGCCGUAACUAUAACGGUCCUAAGGUAGCGAAAUUCCUUGUCGGGUAAGUUCCGACCUGCACGAAUGGCGUAAUGAUGGCCAGGCUGUCUCCACCCGAGACUCAGUGAAAUUGAACUCGCUGUGAAGAUGCAGUGUACCCGCGGCAAGACGGAAAGACCCCGUGAACCUUUACUAUAGCUUGACACUGAACAUUGAGCCUUGAUGUGUAGGAUAGGUGGGAGGCUUUGAAGCGUGGACGCCAGUCUGCGUGGAGCCAACCUUGAAAUACCACCCUUUAAUGUUUGAUGUUCUAACGUUGGCCCCUUAUCGGGGUUGCGGACAGUGUCUGGUGGGUAGUUUGACUGGGGCGGUCUCCUCCCAAAGAGUAACGGAGGAGCACGAAGGUUAGCUAAUCCUGGUCGGACAUCAGGAGGUUAGUGCAAUGGCAUAAGCUAGCUUGACUGCGAGCGUGACGGCGCGAGCAGGUGCGAAAGCAGGUCAUAGUGAUCCGGUGGUUCUGAAUGGAAGGGCCAUCGCUCAACGGAUAAAAGGUACUCCGGGGAUAACAGGCUGAUACCGCCCAAGAGUUCAUAUCGACGGCGGUGUUUGGCACCUCGAUGUCGGCUCAUCACAUCCUGGGGCUGAAGUAGGUCCCAAGGGUAUGGCUGUUCGCCAUUUAAAGUGGUACGCGAGCUGGGUUUAGAACGUCGUGAGACAGUUCGGUCCCUAUCUGCCGUGGGCGCUGGAGAAUUGAGGGGGGCUGCUCCUAGUACGAGAGGACCGGAGUGGACGCAUCACUGGUGUUCGGGUUGUCAUGCCAAUGGCACUGCCCGGUAGCUAAAUGCGGAAGAGAUAAGUGCUGAAAGCAUCUAAGCACGAAACUUGCCCCGAGAUGAGUUCUCCCUGAGACUAUAAGUCUCCUGAAGGAACGUUGAAGACGACGACGUUGAUAGGCCGGGUGUGUAAGCGCAGCGAUGCGUUGAGCUAACCGGUACUAAUGAACCGUGAGGCUUAACCUUACAACGCCGAAGCUGUU
RNAcentral lists this ribosomal RNA (2930 nucleotides) under Klebsiella variicola. RNAcentral's name for it is "23S ribosomal RNA". It matches the Rfam family "Bacterial large subunit ribosomal RNA". The record is from RNAcentral. Lineage: Bacteria; Pseudomonadati; Pseudomonadota; Gammaproteobacteria; Enterobacterales; Enterobacteriaceae.